This 467-nucleotide ribosomal RNA is filed under the name uncultured bacterium. RNAcentral's name for it is "partial 16S ribosomal RNA". It matches the Rfam family "Bacterial small subunit ribosomal RNA", at positions 28 to 507 of the family's 1533-position model. The record is from RNAcentral.
GAUGAACGCUGACAGCAUGCUUAACACAUGCAAGUCGACUUGAAUUUGGGUUUUUUACUUGGGUUCGGGUGGCGGACGGGUGAGUAACGCGUAAAGAACUUGCCUCCUAGCUAUGGACAACAUUUGGAAACGAAUGCUAAUACCUAAUAUUAUGAUAAUAGCGCAUCCUAUAUUUAUGGAAGCUAUAGGCGCUGUGAGAGAGCUUCGCGUCUCAUAAGCUAGUUGGGGAGGUAGUGGCUAACCAAGGCUUUGAUGGGUAGCCGGCCUGAGAGGGUGACCGGCCCCAAGGGAAUGAGGUCACGGCCAUUAUUCUACCGGGAGGAAGAAGGGGGGAAAAUGGGAAAUGGGACGAAGAGUGUGGUCGAGCAAUUCUGUGUGGGCGAUGAAGUUUUUCGGAAUGUAAAGUGCUUGCAGUUGGGAAGAAGGGAAUGACGGUACCGACAGAAGAAGUGACGGCUAACUACGUG